Long non-coding RNA from Papaver somniferum (opium poppy), 1113 nucleotides. RefSeq lists it as uncharacterized. The transcript has 2 exons. NCBI's taxonomy places the organism in Eukaryota, Viridiplantae, Streptophyta, Magnoliopsida, Ranunculales, Papaveraceae. The record is from RefSeq and is a predicted model, not a curated record.
UGAUCUGACCACAUCGCGGAAAAAUGGUAAACUACCGCACGAAGGUAAAGAUAAAGUCAUUCCGAAUCGGUAGAAACUCUAUCAAGUUUAGCUUCAAUAAAAUCAUUUCCAGCUCCUUUUUUUAGACCAUGUGAAUUCAUAGCCCACAAAUCCCAAGUCUAUUAGGCCCGCCUCAUUUAUAAGUUGGGAGAAGAAAAUUCAGAUUUCCCACAACAAGCCACGGCAAAUCAACAGUUCCAGCAAGAUUUCUAAAAUAAUUCCAACAAUUCCAACCACCCCCGUCGGAUUUACAACAAUCAUAUCCAGGGGAUGCAUUUGAAGUCUCUCACCGCUAGGCUCCACUUCUCCAUCAACAGGGGAGGGGAAUAAAAGUCUAGAAGGCAGUUCAAUGAAAGGGGCAAUGUUCAGAGAGUUUGAGGAGGCAGGAAAAGCAUAUGGGUAGGGAGAGACAAGGGGAUUCACAGAGGCUGAAGGAUCAGAUAGAUGGUGUUGAUUUAAGGUUGUGAUGGUAAUGGCUUGGGGGUGAAUCAGAUCUUCAGAAGGCAAAUUCUUAUGAUUCAAUUGAUUUUUGAGCAUUAGUUGAUGGGGAAGCUUUAGGUUAGGGUUGAGCUCAAAAUCCAUCUUGAUGAUUGUUUCCUUCAUCCUCCGUUGCUUUUUUUUUGCCAAUUGGAGCAUAGCUUGCAUCAAGGCCUUUUCAUAGUUGGAUUUGAGAAUUUUGGUUGAGAGUCUUGUAUUCACUUUUCUCUUCCUCAGCUUUGUCUUCUUUGUCACCUCUUCAUUCUUCCUUUUUUGCUGCACAGUCUGAGUUUUUAUGGUUUCAAAGUUUGUUGCCAUCUUUCCAACAUUGUCUUUCAUAAUUCUCAUCUGCACCUAACUUAUUUCUUCUUUUUCUCCAGUACCCAUAGAUAGCUUAGAUUUUUCUUUGUUAUUCUGAUAAGAUUGAACGGCCUCAAAGUGAUAUGAUCUUUUGCCUGUAGAGCCCUCUAUGGAGAGGGUUGUUUUUCCUUUCCUUCCCAGACAGUAUGCCACCUUCUUUGUUUCAUAUGUUUGUUUUCCUUUCCCUCUGUCUAAUUGAAUCUUAUUAGCUGGAGAUUUUGUACAAUAUUUUCAAUC